Molecule: ribosomal RNA, 465 nt
Filed under: uncultured bacterium
Lineage: Bacteria
Description: bacterial SSU rRNA
Rfam family: Bacterial small subunit ribosomal RNA
Source: RNAcentral
GAGGGGCAGCAGGACACUUCAGAUGUUGCUGGCGACCGGCGUACGGGUGCGUAAUAUGUAUGCAAUCUACCUUGUACUGGAGGAUAGCUCCUGGAAACGGGAAUUAAUACUCCAUAUUAUCUAAUUAGCGCAUGCUGAUUAGAUGAAAGCCCCGGUGGUACAAGAGGAGCAUGCAUCCCAUUAGCUAGUUGGCGAGGUAGCGGCUCACCAAGGCGACGAUGGGUAGGGGUUCUUAGUGGAAGAUCCCCCACACUGGCACUGAAAUACGGGCCAUACUUCUACGGGAGGCAGCAGUAGGGAAUAUUGGUCGAUGGGCGCAAGCCUGAACCAGCCAUGCCGCGUGCAGGAUGAAGGCCCUCAGGGUUGUAAACUGCUUUUAUAUGGGAAUAAAAAGCCCUUGCGAGGGCCAUUGAAGGUACCAUAAGAAUAAGCACCGGCUAACUCCGUGCCAGCAGCCGCGGUAAU